GGCGACGUGGCGGAGUGGUUACGCGGCGGCCUGCAAAGCCGUUUACACCGGUUCGAUUCCGGUCGUCGCCU
RNAcentral lists this transfer RNA (71 nucleotides) under Thermoleophilaceae bacterium. RNAcentral's name for it is "tRNA-Cys". It matches the Rfam family "tRNA". Rfam says of the family: Transfer RNA (tRNA) molecules are approximately 80 nucleotides in length. Their secondary structure includes four short double-helical elements and three loops (D, anti-codon, and T loops). Further hydrogen bonds mediate the characteristic L-shaped molecular structure. tRNAs have two regions of fundamental functional importance: the anti-codon, which is responsible for specific mRNA codon recognition, and the 3' end, to which the tRNAs corresponding amino acid is attached (by aminoacyl-tRNA synthetases). tRNAs cope with the degeneracy of the genetic code in two manners: having more than one tRNA (with a specific anti-codon) for a particular amino acid; and 'wobble' base-pairing, i.e. permitting non-standard base-pairing at the 3rd anti-codon position. The record is from RNAcentral. Lineage: Bacteria; Bacillati; Actinomycetota; Thermoleophilia; Thermoleophilales; Thermoleophilaceae.